Zalophus californianus (California sea lion) is the source of this 107-nucleotide small nuclear RNA. The record is from Ensembl. Lineage: Eukaryota; Metazoa; Chordata; Mammalia; Carnivora; Otariidae.
GUGCUCUCUUCGGCAGCACGUAUGAUAAAAUCGAAAUGAUGUAGAGAAAAUUAGCAUGGGCUCCGUGCAAGCAUGACACUCAAAUUGGUGAAGCAUUCCAUAUUUUC